AUUGAACGCUGGCGGCAGGCCUAACACAUGCAAGUCGAGCGGUAGCACAGAGAGCUUGCUCUCGGGUGACGAGCGGCGGACGGGUGAGUAAUGUCUGGGAAACUGCCUGAUGGAGGGGGAUAACUACUGGAAACGGUAGCUAAUACCGCAUAACGUCGCAAGACCAAAGAGGGGGACCUUCGGGCCUCUUGCCAUCAGAUGUGCCCAGAUGGGAUUAGCUAGUAGGUGGGGUAACGGCUCACCUAGGCGACGAUCCCUAGCUGGUCUGAGAGGAUGACCAGCAAUACUGGAAUUGAGACACGGGCCGGACUCCUCCGGGAGGCAGCAGUGGGGAAUAUUGCACAAUGGGCGCAAGCCUGAUGCAGCCAGGCCGCGUGUAUGAAGAAGGCCUUCGGGUUGUAAAGUACUUUCAGCGGGGAGGAAGGCGAUAAGGUUAAUAACCUUGUCGAUUGACGUUACCCGCAGAAGAAGCACCGGCUAACUCCGUGCCAGCAGCCGCCGUAA
This 504-nucleotide ribosomal RNA is filed under the name uncultured bacterium. RNAcentral describes it as "partial 16S ribosomal RNA". It matches the Rfam family "Bacterial small subunit ribosomal RNA", at positions 30 to 523 of the family's 1533-position model. The record is from RNAcentral.